Molecule: long non-coding RNA, 599 nt
Organism: Cicer arietinum (chickpea)
Lineage: Eukaryota; Viridiplantae; Streptophyta; Magnoliopsida; Fabales; Fabaceae
Source: RefSeq, a predicted model, not a curated record
CAGAGAGUAUCACAUAUGAGCCGCAUUCCAAUUUCAGCAAAAUUAGGAUUUGCAAUUCCAUUAGCCGCAUUCCAAAUUCACUUCCAAUUUCACCAGAUUCCCAUUUGGAUCCAAUUUCCAAUUCCAGUUUCAGGCUCCAAUCACAAUUCCGAUUCCAAUUUCAAGCUCCAAUCACAAUUCCAAUUUCAAAUCCCAAUUCCAAUUUCAAUACCAAAUCAUAUAAGAGACGGUGGUUGGCGAAGAUGUGACACAUUAAAUCAGCAGAUCAGCUUCGUUAAGAAAAAUCUUCAGCUAAGACGAGUUGUAAGUUGCAGGUGAUGACUAGUACCAUCAGGAGAGGCGGAAGCCAUCAUGUCUUGGAGACCUUUAUUAUUAUGCAUUGUGUUGAUGUUAUUUUGAGUAUUUUUAUUUUGGAAAUUCCCGCUCUGAUAGUGACAUCGGGUUGGGACCACAUUUGCAUAUAAUUUAACACAUAAGUAUGUGUACUUCUAAAAAGAUUUGUUGUCGGAUAUUGUGAUUUCAAGUUGUUACGUUUGAUGGAACCUUUGAAUUUAUUCGACGUGUUCGAGAUUAUAUGAUACUUUUUAUCUUAAAAAAAA